GCUGGCGGCGUGCUUAACACAUGCAAGUCGAACGGUGAAGGGGCCUGCUUUUGUUGGGUCCUGGAUGAGUGGCGAACGGGUGAGUAACACGUGAGUAACCUGCCCCCUUCCUUCUGGAUAACCGCAUGAAAGUGUGGCUAAUACGGGAUAUUCUGUGCCUGCUGCAUGGUGGGUGUGGGAAAGAUUGCGCCUUUGGGUGUUUUGGUUGGGGGAUGGGCUCGCGGCCUAUCAGCUUGUUGGUGGGGUGAUGGCCUACCAAGGCGGUGACGGGUAGCCGGCCUGAGAGGGUGGACGGUCACACUGGGACUGAGACACGGCCCAGACUCCUACGGGAGGCAGCAGUGGGGAAGUAUUGCACAAUGGGCGCAAGCCUGAUGCAGCGACGCCGCGUGAGGGAUGGAGGCCUUCGGGUUGUGAACCUCUUUCGCCAGUGAAGCAGGCCUGUCCCUGUGUGGGUGGGUUGACGGUAGCUGGAUAAGAAGCGCCGGCUAACUAC
This 496-nucleotide ribosomal RNA is filed under the name uncultured bacterium. RNAcentral describes it as "bacterial SSU rRNA". It matches the Rfam family "Bacterial small subunit ribosomal RNA", at positions 35 to 504 of the family's 1533-position model. The record is from RNAcentral.